Molecule: ribosomal RNA, 475 nt
Filed under: Pseudomonas sp. oral taxon C61
Lineage: Bacteria; Pseudomonadati; Pseudomonadota; Gammaproteobacteria; Pseudomonadales; Pseudomonadaceae
Description: bacterial SSU rRNA
Rfam family: Bacterial small subunit ribosomal RNA
Source: RNAcentral
AUUGAACGCUGCGGCAGGCCUAACACAUGCAAGUCGAGCGGUAGAGAGAAGCUUGCUUCUCUUGAGAGCGGCGGACGGGUGAGUAAUGCCUAGGAAUCUGCCUGGUAGUGGGGGAUAACGUUCGGAAACGGACGCUAAUACCGCAUACGUCCUACGGGAGAAAGCAGGGGACCUUCGGGCCUUGCGCUAUCAGAUGAGCCUAGGUCGGAUUAGCUAGUUGGUGGGGUAAUGGCUCACCAAGGCGACGAUCCGUAACUGGUCUGAGAGGAUGAUCAGUCACACUGGAACUGAGACACGGUCCAGACUCCUACGGGAGGCAGCAGUGGGGAAUAUUGGACAAUGGGCGAAAGCCUGAUCCAGCCAUGCCGCGUGUGUGAAGAAGGUCUUCGGAUUGUAAAGCACUUUAAGUUGGGAGGAAGGGUUGUAGAUUAAUACUCUGCAAUUUUGACGUUACCGACAGAAUAAGCACCGGUAA